CCAGACUCCUACGGGAGGCAGCAGUGGGGAAUAUUGCACAAUGGGGGAAACCCUGAUGCAGCGACGCCGCGUGAGUGAAGAAGUAUUUCGGUAUGUAAAGCUCUAUCAGCAGGGAAGAAAAUGACGGUACCUGACUAAGAAGCCCCGGCUAACUACGUGCCAGCAGCCGCGGUAAUACGUAGGGAGCAAGCGUUGUCCGGAAUUACUGGGUGUAAAGGGAGCGUAGGCGGGGAUGCAAGUUGGGUGUCAAAACUACCGGCUCAACCGAUAGUCGCACUCAAAACUGCAACUCUUGAGUGAAGUAGAGGCAGGCGGAAUUCCUAGUGUAGCGGUGAAAUGCGUAGAUAUUAGGAGGAACACCAGUGGCGAAGGCGGCUUACUGGACUGUAACUGACGUUGAGGCUCGAAAGCGUGGGGAGCAAACAGGAUUAGAUACCCUCGUAA
This 444-nucleotide ribosomal RNA is filed under the name uncultured bacterium. RNAcentral's name for it is "bacterial SSU rRNA". It matches the Rfam family "Bacterial small subunit ribosomal RNA", at positions 331 to 793 of the family's 1533-position model. The record is from RNAcentral.